CCGGCGCUUGAGGGAAGCAUGUGAGGCACAUGCUUGCGGCCCUCCAUAAAUAUAUAAAUUUUCGGCCCCAUUUUUGACUAAAAUCUUAUGUAGCUAUGUUGGUUAAGUAUAGAGGUUUGGUAACUAGAGGUGGGAGGUUCGAUUUUCCCAAGUCCCAAUCAUUUCAAUUAAUUUUAAUUUUUGUUUUUAAGGUAGUUUAUAGGCCAUAAUUUUUUUUCGGCUUGUGGCCCAAUAUUCUUU
RNAcentral lists this long non-coding RNA (240 nucleotides) under Arabidopsis lyrata. RNAcentral describes it as "long non-coding RNA (ALYR_LNC002277)". The record is from RNAcentral. Lineage: Eukaryota; Viridiplantae; Streptophyta; Magnoliopsida; Brassicales; Brassicaceae.